GACGAACGCUGGCGGCGUGCCUAAUACAUGCAAGUAGAACGCUGAAGAGAGGAGCUUGCUCUUCUUGGAUGAGUUGCGAACGGGUGAGUAACGCGUAGGUAACCUGCCUGGUAGCGGGGGAUAACUAUUGGAAACGAUAGCUAAUACCGCAUAAAAUGGAUUAUCGCAUGAUAAUGCAUUGAAAGGUGCAAAUGCAUCACUACCAGAUGGACCUGCGUUGUAUUAGCUAGUUGGUGGGGUAACGGCUCACCAAGGCGACGAUACAUAGCCGACCUGAGAGGGUGAUCGGCCACACUGGGACUGAGACACGGCCCAGACUCCUACGGGAGGCAGCAGUAGGGAAUCUUCGGCAAUGGACGGAAGUCUGACCGAGCAACGCCGCGUGAGUGAAGAAGGUUUUCGGAUCGUAAAGCUCUGUUGUAAGAGAAGAACGAGUGUGAGAGUGGAAAGUUCACACUGUGACGUAUCUACCAGAAAAGGACGCAUU
Molecule: ribosomal RNA, 487 nt
Filed under: Streptococcus sp. oral taxon 071
Lineage: Bacteria; Bacillati; Bacillota; Bacilli; Lactobacillales; Streptococcaceae
Description: bacterial SSU rRNA
Rfam family: Bacterial small subunit ribosomal RNA
Source: RNAcentral